RNAcentral lists this ribosomal RNA (466 nucleotides) under uncultured bacterium. RNAcentral describes it as "partial 16S ribosomal RNA". It matches the Rfam family "Bacterial small subunit ribosomal RNA", at positions 28 to 507 of the family's 1533-position model. The record is from RNAcentral.
GACGAACGCUGGCGGCGCGCCUAACACAUGCAAGUCGAACGAGCGAGAGGGAGCUUGCUUUCUCGAGCGAGUGGCGAACGGGUGAGUAACGCGUGAGGAACCUGCCUCAAAGAGGGGGACAACAGUUGGAAACGACUGCUAAUACCGCAUAAGCCCACGGUGCCGCAUGGCACAGAGGGAAAAGGAGCAAUCCGCUUUGAGAUGGCCUCGCGUCCGAUUAGCUAGUUGGUGAGGUAAUGGCCCACCAAGGCGACGAUCGGUAGCCGGACUGAGAGGUUGAACGGCAACAUUGGGACUGAGACACGGCCCAGACUCCUACGGGAGGCAGCAGUGGGGAAUAUUGCACAAUGGGGGAAACCCUGAUGCAGCGACGCCGCGUGGAGGAAGAAGGUCUUCGGAUUGUAAACUCCUGUUGUUGGGGAAGAUAAUGACGGUACCAAACAAGGAAGUGACGGCUAACUACGUG